AUUGAACGCUAGCGGGAUGCUUUACACAUGCAAGUCGAACGGCAGCGCGGACUUCGGUCUGGCGGCGAGUGGCGAACGGGUGAGUAAUGUAUCGGAACGUGCCCAGUAGCGGGGGAUAACUACGCGAAAGCGUAGCUAAUACCGCAUACGCCCUACGGGGGAAAGCAGGGGAUCGUAAGACCUUGCACUAUUGGAGCGGCCGAUAUCGGAUUAGCUAGUUGUUGAGGUAACGGCUCACCAAGGCGACGAUCCGUAGCUGGUUUGAGAGGACGACCAGCCACACUGGGACUGAGACACGGCCCAGACUCCUACGGGAGGCAGCAGUGGGGAAUUUUGGACAAUGGGGGCAACCCUGAUCCAGCCAUCCCGCGUGUGCGAUGAAGGCCUUCGGGUUGUAAAGCACUUUUGGCAGGAAAGAAACGUCGCGGGCUAAUACCCCGUGGAACUGACGGUACCUGCAGAAUAAGCACCGGCUAACUACGUG
This 484-nucleotide ribosomal RNA is filed under the name uncultured bacterium. RNAcentral describes it as "partial 16S ribosomal RNA". It matches the Rfam family "Bacterial small subunit ribosomal RNA", at positions 30 to 507 of the family's 1533-position model. The record is from RNAcentral.